UGCAAGUCGAACGCGUUGGCCCAAUUGAUUGACGGUGCUUGCAUCUGAUUGAUUUUGGUCGCCAACGAGUGGCGGACGGGUGAGUAACACGUAGGUAACCUGCCCAGAAGCGGGGGACAACAUUUGGAAACAGAUGCUAAUACCGCAUAACAGCGUUGUUCGCAUGAACAACACUUAAAAGAUGGCUUCUCGCUAUCACUUCUGGAUGGACCUGCGGUGCAUUAGCUUGUUGGUGGGGUAACGGCCUACCAAGGCGAUGAUGCAUAGCCGAGUUGAGAGACUGAUCGGCCACAAUGGGACUGAGACACGGCCCAUACUCCUACGGGAGGCAGCAGUAGGGAAUCUUCCACAAUGGGCGCAAGCCUGAUGGAGCAACACCGCGUGAGUGAAGAAGGGUUUCGGCUCGUAAAGCUCUGUUGUUAAAGAAGAACACGUAUGAGAGUAACUGUUCAUACGUUGACGGUAUUUAACCAGAAAGUCACGGCUAACUACGUGCCAGCAGCCGCGGUAAUACGUAGGUGGCAAGCGUUAUCCGGAUUUAUUGGGCGUAAAGAGAGUGCAGGCGGUUUUCUAAGUCUGAUGUGAAAGCCUUCGGCUUAACCGGAGAAGUGCAUCGGAAACUGGAUAACUUGAGUGCAGAAGAGGGUAGUGGAACUCCAUGUGUAGCGGUGGAAUGCGUAGAUAUAUGGAAGAACACCAGUGGCGAAGGCGGCUACCUGGUCUGCAACUGACGCUGAGACUCGAAAGCAUGGGUAGCGAACAGGAUUAGAUACCCUGGUAGUCCAUGCCGUAAACGAUGAGUGCUAGGUGUUGGAGGGUUUCCGCCCUUCAGUGCCGGAGCUAACGCAUUAAGCACUCCGCCUGGGGAGUACGACCGCAAGGUUGAAACUCAAAGGAAUUGACGGGGGCCCGCACAAGCGGUGGAGCAUGUGGUUUAAUUCGAAGCUACGCGAAGAACCUUACCAGGUCUUGACAUCUUGCGCCAACCCUAGAGAUAGGGCGUUUCCUUCGGGAACGCAAUGACAGGUGGUGCAUGGUCGUCGUCAGCUCGUGUCGUGAGAUGUUGGGUUAAGUCCCGCAACGAGCGCAACCCUUGUUACUAGUUGCCAGCAUUAAGUUGGGCACUCUAGUGAGACUGCCGGUGACAAACCGGAGGAAGGUGGGGACGACGUCAGAUCAUCAUGCCCCUUAUGACCUGGGCUACACACGUGCUACAAUGGACGGUACAACGAGUCGCGAACUCGCGAGGGCAAGCAAAUCUCUUAAAACCGUUCUCAGUUCGGACUGCAGGCUGCAACUCGCCUGCACGAAGUCGGAAUCGCUAGUAAUCGCGGAUCAGCAUGCCGCGGUGAAUACGUUCCCGGGCCUUGUACACACCGCCCGUCACACCAUGAGAGUUUGUAACACCCAAAGUCGGUGGGGUAACCUUUUAGGAGCCAGCCGCCU
RNAcentral lists this ribosomal RNA (1446 nucleotides) under Limosilactobacillus fermentum. Its description in RNAcentral is "bacterial SSU rRNA". It matches the Rfam family "Bacterial small subunit ribosomal RNA". The record is from RNAcentral. Lineage: Bacteria; Bacillati; Bacillota; Bacilli; Lactobacillales; Lactobacillaceae.